UGCAAGCAGGGAAUGUUGGAAGAAUACUCGAGAAGCGUGUUACGCCUCGUGUUUUACACGUUUCUCUCGUAUUCUCCCAACAUUCCCUGCGUGCA
This is a non-coding RNA of Paramuricea clavata, 95 nucleotides long. The record is from the annotation of a GenBank genome assembly. NCBI's taxonomy places the organism in Eukaryota, Metazoa, Cnidaria, Anthozoa, Malacalcyonacea, Plexauridae.